Molecule: long non-coding RNA, 659 nt
Organism: Galleria mellonella (greater wax moth)
Lineage: Eukaryota; Metazoa; Arthropoda; Insecta; Lepidoptera; Pyralidae
Exons: 3
Source: RefSeq, a predicted model, not a curated record
ACCGCUAUUUGAUAAGUUCCUACGUGGAACGGAACGUUCCACAGCUGUCAAAAUAAUUUUACAGAACCUAUUGUAAUUGUUUAAGGGUUCAUUGACAUCAUACUCGAAAUCCAAAAGUAAUUGAUUAACAGUUUCAGAAUAAAGAUCCCAAUUAACGAGACAUGCUGCAACGCUCAGAAUUCUUACAGAAUUUAGCUAAAUGUCCAUACCUCAAGCACCGGUAGCAUUGUUUAACUGGUGGUAUAUAUGGAGUGACAUUGUGGCGCCAACCUCCAAUAUCCAGAUAUUCAGGUAAUACAGAUGCAGCAAAAGUAAUUGUCACGGUUAGAGUUGGCUGUAACACAUAUCCAUGAGUCAAGGAGGAGAGUGAGAGCAAGUCUCUGGAUCCAAUGGUUUUCUGACUAUCUGAGGAUUCUACAAAGACAACAAAUUCUGUCCCAGGGGAUUCCUCGGGAUAUCUUCUAAUAUAAUCUGUGACGUAGUAAGGUUUAUACUUAUCGGCCUUAUCAAUUUCAGAUUCUGAGUCAGUAGAAGUAUCUUCCGAAUAUAUAUCCUUGUCAUUACAAGGUUCAUGGUCUACAUCACCUGAAUCGUCAUCUUUUUUUUUCCUUUUCCUACAACUGCGCUUCCCCAAGAAUGCUAAUUAUAUUACUGUCACU